UGCAACAAGCACAGCUCUCACCACGUUGGCACUACCCAUCAAUUAUCACACAUGCCGCCCUAGCACCGGCCUGUACGGAUAUAUGCAGGGGGGGCCCGCCCUUUUCCGGCUCUGAGGAAAGCCGGCGGGCUUGCAGAGGUAGCCCAAUAACGAAAAUGCUACAGCUCCAAAAUAUAUGUACAGUAGGCGUGGUAGGUGAGCCCCGGAACCCGGCAUGCACUGUGCACCGAUGACCUAGAGCACAACUGUUGCAUGCAACGCAUCUGCUGCGACUGUUGCAUUUGUCGCUCUUGUCGCCAUUGUAGCGGCUGUCGCCAUUGUAGCGGCUGUCGCCGUUGUCGCCGUUGUCGCCGUUGUCGCGACUGUCGCCGUUGUGGCAGUUGUCGCCGUUGUGGCAGUUGUCGCCGUUGUAGCGGCUGUCGCCGUUGUCGCCGUUGUGGCAGUUGUAGCGGUUGUAGCGGUUGUGGCUGUUAUUGCAUCAGGGACGACUGUCGUACAGCUGCAGGAAAAUGGGGCCCCUUAGCUCAGCUGGUUAGAGCGUGGUGCUAAUAGCCAUGGGCACGCCAAGGUCAUCGGUUUGAUCCCGAUAGCCACAGAGGAGCGGAAAUCUUGCUGCUUAAGGAGGAGGAGGUGGCACAAGCGAAUGUGUAUGGGCGGGGAUGCUGCUCAUGUGCAUGACGAUGCG
Molecule: long non-coding RNA, 685 nt
Filed under: Volvox carteri
Lineage: Eukaryota; Viridiplantae; Chlorophyta; Chlorophyceae; Chlamydomonadales; Volvocaceae
Description: long non-coding RNA (VCAR_LNC003662)
Source: RNAcentral